This 29-nucleotide small RNA is filed under the name Bombyx mori (domestic silkworm). RNAcentral's name for it is "ovarian small RNA-37703". The record is from RNAcentral. Lineage: Eukaryota; Metazoa; Arthropoda; Insecta; Lepidoptera; Bombycidae.
UUGACUUAUGUGCUUUAGUCUGCCGACCC